UCCAAACUAGACACAUAGUAAUGGAUGUUGUUAGUUUUGAAAUCUUAUUGUGGUGAUUUAUUUGAGUAGAUUGCAGCGAUUUGGAAGCCCAAUGAAAGGGAAAGACUUAAGUCCCGAAGUGAUUGUUCAAUUAUUUGAGGCAAGUGGAUUUCUAAACCCUUGUUAAGUGUAUGGAAUUCGUGUAUUUCCUUGUAAUUUGUGUUUGGGAGUAAUGCGAAUUGGUGAUGGG
Molecule: long non-coding RNA, 229 nt
Filed under: Solanum tuberosum (potato)
Lineage: Eukaryota; Viridiplantae; Streptophyta; Magnoliopsida; Solanales; Solanaceae
Description: long non-coding RNA (STUB_LNC002545)
Source: RNAcentral